RNAcentral lists this long non-coding RNA (2082 nucleotides) under Capra hircus (goat). Its description in RNAcentral is "lncRNA (ENSCHIG00010001598.1)". The record is from RNAcentral. Lineage: Eukaryota; Metazoa; Chordata; Mammalia; Artiodactyla; Bovidae.
CCUUGGUGAAUUCAGCCUUUGCUAUUUUCAACUUCUGCUGGAAGUGACUCCUGGCUACCAACCUAGAUCAUCUGAGGAGGGGAGGAAGGGAUCCCGGGUGGCUCCUGUGUCUCUUUGGAGUGUGGAAGGGUUCCAGAAUUUUCCUUUCAUUUCCAGAUGAUCAUCAGAAAUCAUUUAAGUCCCAGAGGCCCUUUUCUAAGCAGGCUGACCCCUGAGUCACUCCUGUGUGCUCCCCAUCUCCUGCAGUGAUCGUAUUCCUCUGUCCAUUCGUAAUUUUAAUUAUGCGUUUACUCAAUGGGCCUGCCUUCUGGUGAACUUCUCCUGGUAACUCAUUAAACCUCUGAGUCACGCAUUCAUUAUUAAAGAGGGGGCAAGGUGGGGAAAGGAAAGAACGGAAAGGAGCUGUGCCCUGGGAGGAACUUGGGGAGGAUCUCUGUGGUUGAGUGUAGCUGAGUCUCUGGAGGCCUCAGUUAGCUCUUCUCCCGUCUAGGAUGUACCCUGCACUGCGGGGCACUGUACCGACUGUAGGGAGGUCAUUGGUCAGGUUGGCCUGAAAUUGAGUUUUUACUAUGGUAGGAGACUACUUACAGUUUUGGUGAAAGUCUUUCCCUCCUGCUUAACUCUGCCCUUUGGAAUUAGGUGGUCUCAAAACAACGAUGGAGCCACUAGUUAAAAAGGAAUUCCAAUCUUAACUUGUGACUCUGAAAGAGCAUUAAAGGGAACUGAUUCAUAACCCACAGAGGCACUUCUUAAUAUUCCCUUUCCUUUCCACUACAGUUUUUUAAAGAACUACUCCAACCUCCCUGCCCACUACCACUCAGCCCAGGGAACUAUCUCCUCUCUCACCCUCUCCUCAAGCGCCUACCAAAAUGCCUGGAGAACAAUAGAAGUAAAAUGUGUCGAAUAAGGUGUUCAGGAAAAAAAUGCACAAAAUCCUGACUGACCGGAAUAAUUCAUGAAGAAGGGGCUGGAUCCGUGGGUCAGAGAGCACAGGACCGGUGUACCAUCCCAAGGCCGAAGGAAUAUCACCUGCUCCCUGGCCUGAUGAUGAACUUCUAGCACAGAAGUCAUUUUUCCACAUCACCUUUUCUGGCACAGAGCUGGAUGUACAGCAGGUGUUCAGUAAAUAUUGGUUGGUUGAUUUUAUUUCAAUUGAUUUUAUUUCUGAGGAUGCCACAAUAUCACAUUCUGUGAUGAUAGUAAAUAUGUCCGAGGAUUGUAAUGCAGGUUCUACAGUUUCCUCCUUUUCGACUUUUAAGUAUUUCUGAACACUCUACAUACUUUCUUGAGAAUUAUACAUCAUAUUCAGUAUUAGUAGCAGGACUAAUUCAUGUCCUUAUCAUUUUCCAAGAAGAACACUUUUGUGUGCUCUAGCAGCCUUGAUAAGGGCUUCUUGGUGGCCCAAUGGUAAAGAAUCUACCUUCAAUGCAGGAGACACGGGUUUGAUCCCUGGGUCAGGAAGAUCCCCUGGANNNNNNNNACCCACUCCAGUAUUCUUGCCUGGGAAAUCCCAUAGACAGAGGAGUCUGGAGGGGUUGUAAAGAGUCAGAUUUAGGACUAACAACAGCAACAACAAGCAGCCUUGGUAUCUUUCUUUGUAGGAUUGUUUUCCAGAACAAAAGUGAUUCUAACUGGUAACUAGCCCUGUGCCCUCCCGCCUCCUGGAAUGAGGUUGGUUGUUGGGUGGCUCUUCUGGGGUGAUCGGGACAGAUUUAAUAGACCUUGUUGGUGCUCUGCCUGGACACCCUGGGAUCACUUUGUGCUCCCACCCCACAGCUGCUAUGGCCUUUGCUGCCCCUUUAAAGAACUGACCUCUUGAUAUCUCGGUAUCUCGGUAGCCAGUAUUAACUGGUGUGGGAAUGAGAAACGUAGCUGCCUUGCCUUGGGGAGGAGGGAGCAGAUUCAGGAGGAGGCCAAGUUUGUACUCCAGGAGUCUCCUGGGGUCAGGCUGAAGCUGGGACUUCACCUGAGGUUAGAGUGGCUUGGCUCUCCCCCGACUCUUUUCCUGAGUCCCUUGGGAGCAUUUCUUUAAUGAAUCACCUGCCCAGGAAUCCUUGUCCUACUCUGGGGGAACAUGUCCUC